RNAcentral lists this ribosomal RNA (253 nucleotides) under uncultured bacterium. RNAcentral describes it as "partial 16S ribosomal RNA". It matches the Rfam family "Bacterial small subunit ribosomal RNA", at positions 524 to 776 of the family's 1533-position model. The record is from RNAcentral.
UCCGUAGGGGGCAUGCGUUGUCCGGAUUUAUUGGGCGUAAAGAGCGUGUAGGCGGCCAGGUAGGUCCGUUUUGAAAACUGGAGGCUUAACCUCCAGCUGUCGAUGGAAACCAUCUGGCUAGAGUCCGGAAGAGGAGAGUGGAAUUCCUGGUGUAGCGGUGAAAUGCGCAGAUAUCAGGAAGAACACCCGUGGCGAAGGCGGCUCUCUGGGACGGUACUGACGCUGAGACGCGAAAGCGUGGGGAGCGAACAGG